This 478-nucleotide ribosomal RNA is filed under the name uncultured bacterium. Its description in RNAcentral is "partial 16S ribosomal RNA". It matches the Rfam family "Bacterial small subunit ribosomal RNA", at positions 28 to 523 of the family's 1533-position model. The record is from RNAcentral.
GACGAACGCUGGCGGCGUGCUUAACACAUGCAAGUCGAACGGUAAGGCCUUCGGGUACACGAGUGGCGAACGGGUGAGUAACACGUGGGUGAUCUGCCCUGCACUUUGGGAUAAGCCUGGGAAACUGGGUCUAAUACCGAACACACCCUGCUGGCUGCAUGGCCCGGUGGGGGAAAGCUUUUGCGGUGUGGGAUGGGCCCGCGGCCUAUCAGCUUGUUGGUGGGGUGAUGGCCUACCAAGGCGACGACGGGUAGCCGGCCUGAGAGGGUGACCGGCCACACUGGGACUGAGAUACGGCCCAGACUCCUACGGGAGGCAGCAGUGGGGAAUAUUGCACAAUGGGCGCAAGCCUGAUGCAGCGACGCCGCGUGGGGGAUGACGGCCUUCGGGUUGUAAACCUCUUUCAGUGCCGACGAAGCGCAAGUGACGGUAAGCACAGAAGAAGGACCGGCCAACUACGUGCCAGCAGCCGCGGUAA